AUUGAACGCUGGCGGCAGGCCUAACACAUGCAAGUCGAGCGAGCGGCGGACGGGUGAGUAAUGUCUGGGAAACUGCCAGAUGGAGGGGGAUAACUACUGGAAACGGUAGCUAAUACCGCAUACCAUCGGAUGUGCCCAGAUGGGAUUCGCUAGUAGGUGGGGUAAUGGCUCACCUAGGCGACGCUCCCUAGCUGGUCUGAGAGGAUGACCAGCCACAAUGGAACUGAGACACGGUCCAGACUCCUACGGGAGGCAGCAGUGGGGAAUAUUGCACAAUGGGCGCAAGCCUGAUGCAGCCAUGCCGCGUGUAUGAAGAAGGCCUUAGGGUUGUAAAGUACUUUCAGCGGGGAGGCGUUACCCGCAGAAGAAGCACCGGCUAACUACGUGCCAGCAGCCGCGGUAAUAC
This 406-nucleotide ribosomal RNA is filed under the name uncultured bacterium. RNAcentral describes it as "partial 16S ribosomal RNA". It matches the Rfam family "Bacterial small subunit ribosomal RNA", at positions 30 to 526 of the family's 1533-position model. The record is from RNAcentral.